RNAcentral lists this ribosomal RNA (401 nucleotides) under uncultured prokaryote. RNAcentral's name for it is "bacterial SSU rRNA". It matches the Rfam family "Bacterial small subunit ribosomal RNA", at positions 355 to 774 of the family's 1533-position model. The record is from RNAcentral.
UAGGGAAUAUUAGUAAUGGGGGAAACCCUGAUGCAGCAACGCCGCGUGAGUGAUGACGGCCUUCGGGUUGUAAAGCUCUGUCUUCAGGGACGAUAAUGACGGUACCUGAGGAGGAAGCCACGGCUAACUACGUGCCAGCAGCCGCGGUAAUACGUAGGUGGCGAGCGUUGUCCGGAUUUACUGGGCGUAAAGGGAGCGUAGGCGGACUUUUAAGUGAGAUGUGAAAUACCCGGGCUCAACUUGGGUGCUGCAUUUCAAACUGGAAGUCUAGAGUGCAGGAGAGGAGAAUGGAAUUCCUAGUGUAGCGGUGAAAUGCGUAGAGAUUAGGAAGAACACCAGUGGCGAAGGCGAUUCUCUGGACUGUAACUGACACUGAGGCACGAAAGCGUGGGGAGCAAACA